AUGACUUCGAACAUUUCUCUGGAAUCCACUGAUGUUGACACUAGUCACAAGAUUGAAAAAACAAAGUCAUGCAACGGAGUGCAGCGACCAGGCGACAGUUACCUGAACGUUCUGGUGGCACCAACAGCGAAUGAUGAGAUGAUGAUGGAGGAGCUGCUAUUGAGAUAUAAGCCCAGUUCCUCGAUGUUUUUUUCCAUGGAAUGUGUCACACUUUUAGGGAGGAAAUACCAGAUUCAUGACAACAUCUUGUCUGUGCAUAGCAGGGUAGUGCAGCCACAGCACCUGACAUGCACUUGAGGACUUCACGCUC
This is a long non-coding RNA of Lepidothrix coronata (blue-crowned manakin), 310 nucleotides long. RefSeq lists it as uncharacterized. Lineage: Eukaryota; Metazoa; Chordata; Aves; Passeriformes; Pipridae. The transcript has 3 exons. The record is from RefSeq and is a predicted model, not a curated record.